UACGAAGGGGGCUAGCGUUGCUCGGAAUCACUGGGCGUAAAGCGCACGUAGGCGGAUUGCUAAGUCAGGGGUGAAAUCCUGGAGCUCAACUCCAGAACUGCCUUUGAUACUGGCGAUCUCGAGUCCGGGAGAGGUGAGUGGAGCUGCGAGUGUAGAGGUGAAAUUCGUAGAUAUUCGCAAGAACACCAGUGGCGAAGGCGGCUCACUGGCCCGGUACUGACGCUGAGGUGCGAAAGCGUGGGGAGCAAACAGG
This 253-nucleotide ribosomal RNA is filed under the name uncultured bacterium. Its description in RNAcentral is "partial 16S ribosomal RNA". It matches the Rfam family "Bacterial small subunit ribosomal RNA", at positions 524 to 776 of the family's 1533-position model. The record is from RNAcentral.